AUUGCUUCAGCACUGGGAGCCUUCCUGCUGGGAGAGAUGUGACUGACUGGGUUGCCAGAGAGGGUCCUCAAGUGCCAAAAUGCUAAGGGGAGUAUUUGCAUGGGAGCAAAGGCAUGCAGCUCCAUGUGCUGUGGGGGACAGCAAUGGUUUUGCUUGCUCCCUACUUGAAGGAUGUGUGUUGGGGAACAACCUUCCCUCUAGGUUGCUGGCUCUGCUGGCACCUGAGUUUGGCUAGGAGAUGUGGGGCUUGGCAGGAGGCAGGGUUGUCCCUGACACCUUCUUCACCAAGGCAUUCUUGGCACUUUGGUGAAAAGGAAGGGAUGAGGCUUCUGCCAAGGUCAACAGGCUGGGGAUGGCCAUCUUAUGAGUGCACAGGUCUCUGGGUUACUCCAGGGUAUCUUCUUUCUCUGUGACAGAGCAUCCCAGCAGCACCUGGGACUUUGACUCUUUUUUGUAAGCAGAUUUUGUCCAUUAGAGAAAAUCUGCUGAGAGGAACUGUCUCCGCUUGGCUUUCCCAUCCAGGCAACUGGCCAGGCAGCUGCUGGUGUGAUGUCUACGUAGCACCGCGCCAUGGAGACAGGGCAGGGGAUUCCUGAGGUAACAAGGCUGAAGCUCAAGAGUGGAACAGCGCUGGAUGGCCUAGAAACUGGGCAAACAUGGAGGCAGUCUCUGUUCCAGAAGAUGAGAAGAAGGAGAAGAAGACUUAGUUAAGUCCCAGCUGGCCCGUGACAUAGUGCACAGAGGGCCUUGCUGCAGCCUGCCUAGCACAGGCUUUAAGGAAGGUGUACAAAACAUCAUGUUGGCUGGUUACAUGGAACUCUGUGGCAGAAGCACCCUCAGGUAGUUUUCCUGGCUGACUUCAUCUCCUAGACCUGGUGGGACUGAAGGGCUUCCUCUGGGUUCCCAUGCUGCUGCCUCUGUGUGAGCAGCAGCUCUGCUGAUGGAAGCUGUGGACACAUGAGACCUUCAGCCCCCCUCCUUCUUGCCAAGGCAGUCUCUGCCAGUUCAGGUGCUGAGGCAGGCAGUGGACCUGCCCUCUUCUCAUUUCUCUUCUGGCAAGAUGCACGAGGAGCGAAGGAUGAACACCAAAGGCCAGACAGGGACAGUUCCUGAGUGCUGGCGAGAGUGCAGUCAGCUUCGAAAUGAGGUGUGAUGUUUGUAUGGCCGAGACAAAUCCUUUCAUUGCUUGGGAGAAAACUCUGUGAGCUCCACGGAGGCAGCCACCGGCAAUGGUUGUCGGACAGAAUAGCCUGGGCCAGGAGAGAUCACCAUGUUCUCCACAGGAGCAGCCCUGCUCCGCACUCACCUGCCUGGCCAUGUGUGGAUAUCUCCAGCCUCUGUGUGGAGCUGGGCCAUCCCCUGUGUCCGUGAUCACCUGCCUUCAUAGGGAAACACCAAGCUCCAUGCGGCACCACGCUCAGCAUCCAGGAGUCACCUCACAUGGCUGUUGCAUAGCUCACAAGUGGGCAAGAAAGACUCAGCUAGCUGCAGGGAUCCUAAUGCCGAUGAAGAAGGACCUCCUCACCAGGCAGCCUCCGUGAAGAGCGUGUUUCUGACCACCACUGCUGCCCAUAGCAAAGCAGUCCCAGUAUUGCUAGGGGUUUGCUUGGAGCUGAGGAAUGGGAUGGACUUUGCUUCAGUCCAGGUGUGGAGAUGCUGUUCCCCACCUGCCCAGGAAGCUUUUCUGAGAAGGCUCUGGGGUGACCUAAGGACAAGCCUCCUUUGCCACAGGCAAAAAUCAAGGAUCUACCUCAAAACUCUUUCCUUCCUCCACUCAGGAACAUCUCCCAGGCUCGUUUGUAGUGUCAGUGCUGCAAGGGUGAAAAGCAUCACGUGUCCCUCGAUGUACCUUUUGGGGGCCCCUCUUGCCAUCGCCACCCGAGAGGAGAGCAUGCCCUGCACUCCUCUCACCAUAGCCACAACGCCUGUUUCCAAAACCUCAGUUUGUAUGAAGCACCCUAAGUCUCCCGUACACUUGGCUAAUGUGCUGUGCCCCAUGCUGCUAACCUGCAGGCAGCUGCCCAGGCUGUCAGCACAUCGCAUGCAGCCCUUCUUCCUGGCGAGAGUCUGGGGCAAGACAAAGCCCUGGACCUGUGACUGUGCUGAAAGCACCACCUCACCUCUGUCAGGAGAAUAAUGUAAAUACUGCGCAGCAGGUUAAAAAAACACCUGCGAGUGAUUAUUAACUGGUAAUGUUUUCCCAGAGAGCAGCAAAUCCGUCAGCCUGGGGUUUAUCAUUGAAAACAGUUUUUAUUUUAAAAACAAACAAAUAAACUGGUAAAAGUCUCCUAGUAACAGGUGCUGCCCGCAUGCUAAGCCCAACACUACAGCCCAUAAUUCACAGUUGCCUGUUUAUUCUCUCUGCUAUUUAUAGCUGGUCAAAUCUCUCCAUCCCAGCCUGUGUUUCCUACUUGCUGUAUCUUUGUAAUUAAUGUAUUU
Long non-coding RNA from Dromaius novaehollandiae (emu), 2439 nucleotides. RefSeq lists it as uncharacterized. The transcript has 6 exons. NCBI's taxonomy places the organism in Eukaryota, Metazoa, Chordata, Aves, Casuariiformes, Dromaiidae. The record is from RefSeq and is a predicted model, not a curated record.